GGCUAGUACUGUAGAUCGAGCAUGCGCUCAGUCGUCGUAGAGCAGAGUGUGAUACGAUGAGAUUCAGGCGGUCGGACGGGUGAGUAAUGCCUAGGAAUCUGCCUGGUAGUGGGGGAUAACGUCCGGAAACGGGCGCUAAUACCGCAUACGUCCUGAGGGAGAAAGUGGGGGAUCUUCGGACCUCACGCUAUCAGAUGAGCCUAGGUCGGAUUAGCUAGUUGGUGGGGUAAAGGCCUACCAAGGCGACGAUCCGUAACUGGUCUGAGAGGAUGAUCAGUCACACUGGAACUGAGACACGGUCCAGACUCCUACGGGAGGCAGCAGUGGGGAAUAUUGGACAAUGGGCGAAAGCCUGAUCCAGCCAUGCCGCGUGUGUGAAGAAGGUCUUCGGAUUGUAAAGCACUUUAAGUUGGGAGGAAGGGCAGUAAGUUAAUACCUUGCUGUUUUGACGUUACCAACAGAAUAAGCACCGGCUAACUUCGUGCCAGCAGCCGCGGUAAUACGAAGGGUGCAAGCGUUAAUCGGAAUUACUGGGCGUAAAGCGCGCGUAGGUGGUUCAGCAAGUUGGAUGUGAAAUCCCCGGGCUCAACCUGGGAACUGCAUCCAAAACUACUGAGCUAGAGUACGGUAGAGGGUGGUGGAAUUUCCUGUGUAGCGGUGAAAUGCGUAGAUAUAGGAAGGAACACCAGUGGCGAAGGCGACCACCUGGACUGAUACUGACACUGAGGUGCGAAAGCGUGGGGAGCAAACAGGAUUAGAUACCCUGGUAGUCCACGCCGUAAACGAUGUCGACUAGCCGUUGGGAUCCUUGAGAUCUUAGUGGCGCAGCUAACGCGAUAAGUCGACCGCCUGGGGAGUACGGCCGCAAGGUUAAAACUCAAAUGAA
RNAcentral lists this ribosomal RNA (886 nucleotides) under Pseudomonas aeruginosa. Its description in RNAcentral is "bacterial SSU rRNA". It matches the Rfam family "Bacterial small subunit ribosomal RNA", at positions 45 to 909 of the family's 1533-position model. Lineage: Bacteria; Pseudomonadati; Pseudomonadota; Gammaproteobacteria; Pseudomonadales; Pseudomonadaceae. The record is from RNAcentral.